UAACAAGGAUUCCCUUAGUAGCUGCGAGCGAAACGGGAAGAGCCCAGCGCUGAAUCCCCUCAGGGUAUCCCUGUGCGUGGAAAUGUAGCGUUAAGGAGUGUCUGUUAACACGGCGUCUCGCAUCUCGCUCAAGUCCAACUUGAACGGGGCCACACAGAGGGUGAUAUGCCCGUGUAGCAGUUGCGUGCGUCGUGUAGGCAUCUCCUCAGAGUCGGUUUGCUUGAAAGUGCAGACCUAAGUGGGUGGUAAACUCCAUCUAAGGCUAAAUAUGACCACGAGACCGAUAGCACACAAGUACCGUGAGGGAAAGGUGAAAAGAACUUUGAAAAGAGAGUUCAAGAGUACGUGAAACUGAGCUGAUGAAAGCGGACGGAAUCGAAAAGUGCGAACAGAGUUGACUCACGCCGACCUCUGCGGCAUACUGGGUUGGAGACGGUGUUGGAUAAGUCUGCAAAGAUGGUUCCGCAUUGCUUCAUAUCUGGCCAUGUCCAAGGGGGGAAGCUGCACUUCUGCUUAGUAGCACGUCGCGGCUCGUUGGGUGUCGGCCUAAGGCCCGCGGUGGAGACUUCACCUUGUGUGUUGACCCGUGGAUGCCCGGCCGGCGCUCGACGGUGCUAUGGAAAGACCGGACUAAAAAGCCCUUCGGGGAGUCGCAUACUAAGGAUGCUAGCCUGGUCUGUCCGCGGCGCUUCUGCUUUCGAUCCCCGUCCGACCCGUCUUGAAACACGGACCAAGGAGCCUAGCAUGUGCGCGAGUCACUGGGCUUACUAAACCCAAAGGCGAAAUGAAAGUAAAGGACGGAGUAAUCUGGACUUAGGGGUGAUGGUCGCGCUCUCAUGCCGGCCCGCAACCCCGGGGCAUUGCAUUCUCUUGAGAAGCAAUGCACCUUGAGCGCACAUGUUGGUACCCGAAAGAUGGUGAACUAUGCCUGGCCAGGGUGAAGUCAGGGGAAACCCUGGUGGAAGCCCGUAGCGAUUCUGACGUGCAAAUCGAUCGUCAGAGCUGGGUAUAGGGGCGAAAGACUAAUCGAACCAUCUAGUAGCUGGUUCCCUCUGAAGUUUCCCUCAGGAUAGCUGGCACUCGGAUAAAAUCUCAUCCGGUAAAGCGAAUGAUUAGAGAGUUCGGGGCCGAAACGGCCUCGACCUAUUCUCAAACUUUAAAUGGGUGAGAACUCUGGCUUUUUUGGCUGAAGUACAGAGUCUCACGGAUUUUGAGUGCCUAGUGGGCCAAUUUUGGUAAGCAGAACUGGCGCUGUGGGAUGAACCAAACGCGGAGUUAAAGCGCCUAAGACGACGCUGAUGGGAUACCAGAAAAGGUGUUGGUUGCUGAAGACAGCAGGACGGUGGCCAUGGAAGUUGGAAUCCGCUAAGGAGUGUGUAACAACUCACCUGCCGAAGCAACUAGCCCUGAAAAUGGAUGGCGCUGAAGCGUCGCGCUUAUACUCCGCCGUCAUUGCAAAUGGCCACUUGUGGUCUUGAAGCAUUGAUGAGUAAGAGGGUCGCGUGGGUGUGCGCAGAAGGGUCUGGGCGUGAGCCUGCCUGGAGCCGCCCACGGUGCAGAUCUUGGUGGUAGUAGCAAAUACUCUGGAGGGUCCUUGGAGGACUGAGGUGGAGAAGGGCUCCGCGACAACAGUUGUUGCUCGCGAGUUAGUCGAUCCUAAGCCUAAAGAGAAAUCUUUAGUAUGGUUCAGCCUUUCGGUUGCCAUCGGGCGAAAGGGAAUUCGGUAACCAUUCCGGAACCAGAGUUCAGAGCCGUUUAUCAGGUCCUCGUUACUUGUCACGGUGACGUGAAUUGCCCCAGAGACGCCUUCGGGUGCUGCCAGGGGAGUUUUCUUUUCUCUUUAAGCUGGCGUAAUCCAUGGAAUUCUUUCGCAGAGAGAUAUGGACCGGCCUAGCGAAGAGUAUCGCACUUGCUGCGGUAUUGGCAGUUACUCCUAGGACCUUGAAAAUCUGGGUGAGGGCCACGGAUAGCCUCUGACUCUGAUCGUA
Molecule: ribosomal RNA, 1988 nt
Filed under: Thrips simplex
Lineage: Eukaryota; Metazoa; Arthropoda; Insecta; Thysanoptera; Thripidae
Description: eukaryotic LSU rRNA
Rfam family: Eukaryotic large subunit ribosomal RNA
Source: RNAcentral